Molecule: non-coding RNA, 45 nt
Organism: Schistosoma curassoni
Lineage: Eukaryota; Metazoa; Platyhelminthes; Trematoda; Strigeidida; Schistosomatidae
Source: Rfam
AUCCAGCUGACAAGUCCGAAAUAAAGCGAAACGUUCUUCCUGGAU